UUUGUAUAGGGACCCCUAGUGUCACUACAUCGACACAACGUCGAGUGAGUGACAGAUAUGGAACGUCCUGGUUACUUGUGUAACCUCCGUUCCCUGAUGGAGGGAAUGAGACAUUGUGUCCCUCCUGCCACAAUGCUGAACUACCUGCUGAAAUGGCCGGACCUUGUCUCGGCUCCUCAGCAUAAAACCUGAAUGAGUGGUUGCAUACCAGUUCAUUUUAUACCCGUAUGUCUGGGGGAGUGGCAUGCAAAUACCACUCGCCAAUUUUCAAUGGCCUUUUAUCAAAGACCAGGGGUGUCUCAGGCUCCCAAGAGUGACCCCUAGUGUCACUACGUCGACACAAUGUCUCAUUCCCUCCAACAGGGAACGGAGGUUACGCAAGUAACCAGGACGAUCUCACUGUGUAAACCUGUAAAUCCUGUGAAUCUCAGAACAUACUCUCGCACUUGGUUUCACAAACUACAACUUGUGUGGCUUGAAUUCCUAUCAGUCAUAUAGCCUAAAUAUUUCUGCUAAAGAAGAAGCACAAGUAGAUAACGCAACGGCAUUGCUCUGAAAUAAAGGAUGGUUAUUUACUGCAGUAAUUUUUUUUAUUAUUAUUAUUUGGAAAUUAUUUUUUAUUUUAUAUUGUUUUGAAAUUGUUUUGGACUGUUUUGGUUUGUGAACGGCGCUUGGUCUGUGGAAGUUUCUCUUGUAAACAAUGUCCCACUUCCUGUCUCCUCCUCCACGUGACACGUGACCUUACCAACGAGCUGACGUCAUCCCUCUCAUGAGCGCGCGUCGCAGAGAUGUACGGAAGCGAACAUUUGUAGUUAAAAAGUAUAUAAGUAGUUUCUAAAAAUAAUCAAUCGUUUGGGUUCAGAAGAACUUUAUUUGUCGACUGGAGUCGUGUGGAUUAUUUUGAUGCACCCUAAAUAUGCAUUUUGGACCGUCAAAAAAUGGAGUACAUUAAUUUGCAUUGUUGAACCCUCUGGUGUCUGAGGGUGUUUUGGGCCCUAGAGAAGUUUUGACAUGCCUUGACAUUUGUGCUUUUUUCAGUUGCUUAAAAACAUAUUAAUGGCUAAAGACUGAUAACACUGUAUUCAGCACAAACUGGGCUACAAUAAUAUGUGAACAACAUGUACAGUAUGUACAUGUUUGUAUUUUUGUGAAAAUAACGUUUAUGCGUGGUUUUUGAAAUAACAAACAUUUUAAGUCACUGAAAUAAGGCCAUAUAACACAUACUAAACAUUUGUUCACAAGACUUUUGAGAACUGGAUCUUCUAGCCUAGAGUUUUUGCUACAGAAAUGAUGUGAAACCCAUCCUGAUCACUCAUUCAUACGAAACAAUAUAGUCAUAUAACUUUCAUACAGAUUACAUUGCAGGAAAAUAUUUGUUUUAAAUUUGAAUUAUUUUAUUUAAAAGUAGACAUUUUAAGCUUUCUUUAGACAUAUGUUUCAUGUUUGUCUGAUAAGUAUUCGCGGAGUUGCAGUUCAUUUUUGUGACAUGUUUCAGAAAGAUGCUUGCGGAGACAGAGACAGCUGAAAGCGCACCCUGUUUAUUUGAUUUAUUUUACAAAAGCACAAGGUUUUGUUGUUAUUGUGAGUGUAUACAAAUAAAAGUAGAUCCUUUAUAGUCUCUAAUGAUGUCUUACACUUAUCUGUAUGCCCGGAGUAUUAAAAUGACGGAGUAUUUUAAGUUGUUUCCGCUGUUAUGAGGAAAAAAUCCAGCAGGACGGGCCGGCGCGUCCGUCAACCCCAGAGGGUUAAAGGAGGACACCUGAAAUGAAAUCCUAAAAAUCUUAAAUUCUGUUUUGAUGAAGAAAGAAACUCAGAUACAUCUUGGAUGGCCCGAGGUUGAGUAAAUUAUCAGCAAAUUUUCAUUUUUGUGUGAACUAUUCCUUUAACUAAUAGGUCGGAAGCUCUCUCUAAAGUAAUGCGUAGUCGCAUUAUAUGACGUUUACCUGUAUUGAUCCAAUAAACAGCCUUCAAAUUUGUACAUAGAAGUUUUAAAAAUCUGUGAAUUUCAAUUUGAUCUUGUUACGGUUGAUGUUCAAACCUUGUUUGCUCACGUAACUGUCAGCUGUAAUAAAUUGUAUCCCCGUUAAAAUGAUACGUAAUAAAAAAAGAUUUAAUUUAGCCUAUGUAUAUAACAAUAUUCAAUAACUGUAUCUAAAAUUAAUAAGGGACAAUAAAUAAAUAAAUACUAAUACAACAGGCUUAACAUUUAUUCAUUUUAAUAUCUAUGUCAUCUGUUGAAACUUGACACCGGUUGGCGUACACAGGAAAGUGUACCGUUAGAUCGGUUUCAUACUGAAGAAGUUUUUUACAUAAUGUUUUUAAUGCAACGUCACCAUAUAUGUCGAAAGGACUGAAGCCUGUCAACCAAAACAUGAGCUCAUUGAUGUCAUUAAAUGAGUCUACUUUUUCAUUCCAUCCUUUAUUUCUGGUCAGAGGCUUCCGUAAAUAUUUAGUUUAUACGUAGGGUUACGUCCUAUCUAAGUUUAAUGGUGCAAUGCUCACAUAUUUAGUAGUGCAUAAAUUGUGAUUUACAGCUCAUUUACACCACAACUAGGCUAAGUUGUAACUUAUGUAUAGCUGGUGCAACCGGCCCCAGAUGUUUCUUGUUUACCUUGUUAGUCCCUGUGUAUAUAUUGCCCUUGUGUACUCUCUGUCUUUGUCAGUUCUUCUCCAUUCAUGGCUGUUGUAUUUUGUACUUUUCUCGUGUUUCUGUUUUCUUGUGUUUAUUUUUCUGAGUUUAUAUUAAAAGCCUGCACUUAGAUCCUGCUUGUCUUGUCUAUCGGCAAACAUUACACCAUGUCUUCUGAAGAGAUCCAAUAGGUUUUGGGUGAGAACAGACCAAAAUGUAACUCCUUUUUCGCUGUACAUCUUGCCAUUGCAGUCUCUAGGCACAGUUAUUUUUUCAAGCUCAAUUACAUUUCCUGGUGCUGACACAUGCACAGAGCACUAGAUUCCGCUAUAGGAAGUGUAAUCGAACUUGAAAUCAUGAUCGCCAAGGAGAUUUAUAGUGAAAAAAAAUUACAUUUUGGUUUGUUCUCAGCUAAAACCUAUUGGAUAGAUUCAGAAGACAUGGAUUGAACCACUGGAAUUGUAUGGAUUACUUUUAUGCUGCGUUUAUGUGCUUUUUGGACCCUCGGAAUUCUGGCCACCAUUCAUUUGCAUUGUAUGGACCUAUGGAGUUGAAAUAUUCUCCUAAAAAUCCUUUAAAAAAAUGUAUCCUAAAAAUUUGUUUUCUGCAGAGGAACAAAGGAAGUCAUUCACAUCUGUGAUGGCCUGAGGGUGAGUAAAUGAUAAGAUAAUUUAUAUUUUUGUUAUUAAAAAAAUAGCUUUGUGUGAACGUUUAUUGAAGGAAUCAUCUCAAUAAUAUGUAAGCCAAACAAAAUACUAAAUGAAGAAUAAAACAUUGAGGAUUUGUGCAAUAACUAGCAUUUCCUCUCCAGAUCUGAAGUGUCCUUUUACAAAUGUAUUUGUUAAAUUUCCAAACCUUCAUAAAUAACUCCAUAUUCAGUAGCUGGAGAGCAUUUAUGUUUGGGAGCAGAGAUCAGUACUGUGUCUGAGGUUUGUUCUGGGAAGUGUCAGUGCUCAUUUUGAAUGAUAGUGUUUUUGUUUGUUUAAUAUGGUUGGUAUCAGUGUUAACCCUGUUUUGCUGACAUUUAGGAUUUAUGUGUCCCAAAUUGGUAGCAGCAAUGGAACCUUAUUACUUCUUCCCGAUGUUUUUUUUUUUUUUUUUUUUUUUUUUUUGAUCUUUAUCCUUCUUUCACAACUGUGUGGUCUGUACAGUGUAUUAAACAGUGACUUCCAAUUCUAUUUUCCAAAGAAGUGAAUUAUUAUUAACUUACCUGGCAACUAGACUGUAUAGCAGAUGGAUUGUAUGGUUAACCUAGUAUUUGGCAUCAGACCGUUGGCCAAAUUGUGUGAUCGUAUAAUUAUUUAUAAUAGCUUACAGUAAUAACUUACUGCUUCAGCUAUAUGUUAUCCCUUGUUGUAGUUCCAAUAUCCAGUUCUUGAAAUGUUAAGGUCCCGUGAUAUAACAAAUUUUUUCCUCACCCUGAAUAUCCUUAUUUUACCUGUAUUUAUGUUACUGCGACUUGGAAAGAUGUUUAGAUGUAUCCUCCUUUGUUACAUAUUGGGUUACCAUAGACACCUAAUUGCAAUAUAUAAAGGCUGCUAGCAUCAAGGCAUUCAUCUUUUUCAGGCCAUCCUUUCGUUCUCCAGCAUUAACAAUGUGAGAGUGUGUUCCUGGCUGUCACAAAAGGCAUGUGGCUACCAUUUAUAGUGCUUUCUGGUGCUACCACCUUUGUCCUCUGUUCUGUCUCUUAUUUCCGUGUUUUUGUUUUGUAGCUUUUGAACCCUUUUACAUUUUUGGAUAUCAGUUUUUUCAACCCUGCAACCUUGCAAUCUCACUGUCUCUCUUACCUUUUCCUUCUUCCAUUCUUAGCUUAAAGGGAUAGUUCACCCAAAAAUGAAAUCCUGUCAUUCAUCCUCAUGUUUUCCAUGUUAAGUCCCCUGUCUGACUUUCUUUUGUGGAACAAAAAAGGAGAUUUUAGGCAGAAUGUUAGCUUCAGUCACCAUUCACUUUCAUUAUAUGAAAAAAGAUGCAAUGAAAGUGAAUGGUAACUGUCACUAGCAUUCUGCCUAACAUUUUUGUGUUCCACGAAGACAGAAAGUCUGCUUGGAACAACAUUGUAAGUUAUUGAUGACAGAAUUUUAAUUUUUGGGUGAGCUUUCUCUUUAAGUUAAUGUUUAUUUUUAUUUUCCUAUCUCUCUCUAUGUAACUGAUACCUGCUCCAUCAGCCUGUCCUGAUUGAAUUAGGGUCACAUACUCUGCCGUUAUGUGCAGAUGUUUUGUGGCAUAUAGUAAACGAUAUCCAGCUCAGCAAUGUUUAAAGUGCUUACCAUUCAUCAUCCCCUCUGUUUACGCACAUGGCCAAUAUCUCCAUCCUCAUGCUUUCAACCUGCUGUGGCUUUUAUGGCAUAUUAACAGGCUGAGUGAUGAAUUCAGCCUAAGAUUUAGUCUGAUGAGGAUCACAGUAGGUUUCAUUACAAUAUACUUCAACUUAUUUGUGUAUCAUAGAGAAAGAGAAAAAGGAAACAGCUCUUGACUUGCAUUAUUCUUCAAUAUUAAUUCUGCAUCCAACAUUCAAUGGUGUGUGUGUGUGUGUGUGUGUGUGUGUGUGUGUGUGUGUGUGUGUGAAGCUGGGAAAUAUGUGUUUGUUUGGUUUCUGAAUGCGGUGCCUAAUGCUGGAUAAAUUGUUGGAUAUAGUGGACAGUUUUUCACUAAAAAAUGAAAAUUCUGUCAUCAUCUACUCAACUUCAUAUUUCUCUAAAGUUAUAUGUUUAUGAAUUUGAGCAGAUUAUCCAGGUUCAUACAAUGAAAGCAGAAAGACACCAGAGGCUUUCAAGCUCCAAAAAUGACCGUAAAAGAAGUUUAAAUGGCUCAUGCCAAAGAAAACAAAAACUGUGCAGCCCACAGUUGGCUUUGGUAAACUUUCUCACUGAAAAUCUUCCCUUAUAAUUGUCAUUUUUAUGUGAACUACCACGUUAAGUGACACAAUUUUCAUUUUCAUUCACACAUAUAUCUGUAAAAUACCAAUGUUUUUUAAUUAACAAUUUGUUACAAAAACAAAUGUCUCAGUUACUCAAGUAACCUUGGUUCCCUGAAAGGAGGGAACAAGACACUGCUUCAGAAUGCUGAUGCAAGGGGGACUCUUCUUGGGAGACCAUACCUUGAAACCCUAUACCACCAUGCAAAUUUGACUGGCUUGUCACGCUUGGCGCUCUGCCCACACUCACCUACCAUGCGUAUUUAAGGUGGUGCCAGCGUCACAUUCCCAGAAUUUCUGAUUGAAAGUAGAAGAGUGUAUCUCUCGACCCCUGCAGAUGAAAAUCAGUAGUGCAGAACAGCUAUGCAGUGUCUUGUUCCCUUCUUUCAGGGAAGAAAGGUUACGUGAGUAACCGAGACGUUCCAUUUUAAGAAGGUAAUUCAACGCUGCAUCAGAAUGCUGAUGCAAGGGGAUCGUAUACCAUAACACCAUGCUACUGACCAGCAAUGUCCACUUGCCAGCAGGGUAGUGAAAAUGACAUUGCAUAAACCACAGCUAAGUAAAACAAUAGGCAUUGAGUGGGGAACCCAGAAUCAACUGUUCACUAUAAAGACAAGGCACUAACCAACUGGAUAGGAGACCAAUGUCCCAACAUAUCUGCUCAUUAUAGGGGAUAAAGGGGAGCAGGGCAGACCACAUAAAAUGGGCCAUACAUAAUGAUACUAGAACCCAGGGUAGUGAACACUACAUGCUUUCUUCACAUCUUGGAGACAGAGAGCUAUAUCUUCCCACCUGACACCAGACAAUGAUAUUAACCAAUUGUAGUGAUCAUUAACCAACAUUCUCAAAAAAAAAAAAAAAAAAAAAAAUUCUGAGAAGACAGGGAAGAUACUUGCAGGUUAUAGAACCUUGCAAAGGUUUUAGGGGAACAAAAACCUGCAUCCAUACAGAUGUCCUGUAAGGACACACCCUUUGCCUAUACCCAGGGGGAGACCAUACUCCUGGUAGAAUGAGCUUUCACCCCCAUUGUAUGCUUUAUGAUUCAUAAGCAAGGGCAAUGGCUUCAAUGACCCAAUAGGAUGUUCUCUGCUUUGAGAUGGCCGAAUCUUGUAGCGGCCUCCAAAGCAGAUGAACAGUUGUGCAGACACCCUAAAUCGACUCAUUCAGUCAAUAUGAAUAUGCCCAAAUCCCUUACCUGGUAGAGCAUGUGUAAUCUCUUAGCCUUGUCUGACUCAAGGAAGGAAGAAAGUAUGUAGGGUAACAAACUUAGCCUUAUGGAGGUUGCCAGCACUUGAAGCAUAGCCUUCCCUGGGCUUAAGAAUGGCCUCAGACAGACACUGUCUGAACUCUAGACCGGAGUAUUGAUAGAAGGGCCUGAAGGUCCCUAAUAUGCUUGACUGAUCCCAAAGCGAGAAGCAGCACAGUUUCCAAAGAGAGUAUGCGUAAACUUACCGCCUCUAAUGGCUCAAACAGGGAACCCGUAAGUGCGUUUAACACCAAUGAUAAUUCAAAGACCAGGAUGGUAGCAGGACGAAAAUGCUCUUAGCCAUCUCUUAACAUGCAGAAUCCUGCUGACCAGAGGGUGUUGCUUACAGACAAGCCCUCAGAGGUCAUGAGUGGUCGCUAUGGCAGCGACAUGCUUUAAGGGGGAUGGAGAGAAUCCUGCUUUUGUAUAAAAGAUAGCAUCGUCUGCACAGGGCAAUGGUCUGGUCCCUAAACCUAGGAAGAACACCAAUCAGCAAAAAGUCACCACUUGAAUACAACAGCUGCCUCGUUGAGGGGUCCCUGGCCUGCAGCCUGUAGUAAGAGAAUGGACAGAAUGCCUUCGUCGGACUGGUGCCGACAUUGUUACAGAAUCGAGUUUCAUUCCUAAGAAGGAACCUUACUGACUGGGCACUCACACGCUCUUUGUCCAGUUGUCCUUGAGGCCCUAGUUAGCUAGCAACAGGUCUUCUGUGCUUGCACGCUUUCAGCUAUUAGUAACCAAUUGUUGAUAAUGCAGAUGCCACUUGGUUUCAGUGAAGCGAAUGCAGCAUCUACACUUUAUAGAUGUGUGAAGGACAAGGACAACCUGAAAGGUAGAACCUUGAACUGGAUUGCAGUCUACUUGAAGGCGAAUCUCAAGAAUGGCCUUUAGCAAGGGGACUGCACAUAUGUUACUGCCAAUUGCUUGACACAACCAGCCCAGUGAGGACAUGAGACCAGUCUUUCUCUGAGUAACUACCUUGACUGGAGACUUAAAAUUGUCCAAUUCAAGAGCUUCAACCAUAUGCCACAGCCCGCCGUCCUACUUGGUGACCAUAAAUUUAACGGCCGUAGAAGCUGAUUUGUGCCUUGUAUGCCGGUACUUCCUCUAUCGCAUCCUGGCAAGGAUUUAUUAUACCUCUGAGCGUAAAAUUGUCCAGUCUGCAGGGAAGUGAAAAGUGAAUACCUGACAAUUUUAGCCAGGAGUGUCAUUCCACUGACACCAGGCUGCCCUUAGAUAUGCAAAUUAACUAGGCAGAAAUCCAUUGUAUUCAUGGAAUAUCACUAUUCAUAAGCACUGCAAAAGCAGCUGCACCAGAGAUCUGAACUCUAACUAAAUAAGGAGAACAUCAAGUCAAAAUGUGCAAUUCCAGAAACAGCAUCACCGGCGGCAAAGCUUGAAGGCACGCUUAACACGUUGAACACCUUUCACUGGGCACCACCGUGCUCUUAUCCUUUUUUAAGGGUUCAGUGAAAACCUGAAGCAACUCCUUGUCAUCGUCACCCCCGCCUCUGAGGGCCAUCCUACAGCCAGGCUCAUGAUGGGUGUGGGUAGGAAAGAGAAGUGGUGCAUGGAUAAUAAGUCUCGAUCAAAGCAUGCGAUGCAGCCCAUGGACAACACCCACUAUGUCUGUCUCUUGCUCACCCUGCCACAGCGGUGGAGAAUGUGGGCAAUUUCUGGGCAGAGACGGUGCAGUUGGGCACCAACAGUGAUGUCACUCUCCCUCUCAUUCGCUGAUUAGAAAGUCUGGAGUGGGACGGAGAAGACACGGGUACAGCCUCCCUGCUGCAGAAAAUGGUGUGAGCGAGAGGGAGAGCUGGCCCAGAGAGGCAUCCCCUACACACCCACUCGGACCAUAGGGCAUUACUGUGUGGGCAGCGAGGAGGGUUUCACCUCCGGCUCUGGAUUCUGUGUUCUAAAGGAGCAUGGGAGGAGGUGCCGCAGGGCGAUGUGGUGGAAUGACCCACCCCUCCCACUUGUCAUUGUCGCCCUGCCUCUGAGGGCUAUCCUUCAGCCAGGCUCAUGACGGGAGUGAUCAGGAGAGAGAAGAGGCGCAUUUAAACUCGUCACUGCUGCCAAAUAAACGCAGAGAUCACCUCUUUUUGGGGAGCUCUUUUUUUGGUUUCAAUGAUGAGAGCCCAGCUAGCAUCCCUUUCAUCUCCACUGAACGUGAUCAUAUCACGCUUGCAGAUUAAGCUUAAGCCUGCGUAAACCUGCCUAAAACCUGCUUUGUAUUCCAUCCUCUCGCGUUUCACUCAAAUGGUCCCUCGGGAACCACAGAGGAGCAUUAGCAGGAGGAGAGGGAAGUAGCUUUAUGGAUGUAUUCCUUCAACCACUAAAGAUAGCUUCACUAAUAAUCUUCCAGACUUGUUUCAAAUAAAAAAAGUUCAGAAGAACUUGAUGUUGUCACAGAAAAUAUGGAUACAGUCUUCUCUAGCACUUUAGAUAGUGUCGCCCCUCUUCGAGUAAACAAAGUUAAAGAGAAAAAUCCUGCACCGUGGUACAAUGAUCACACUCAUGCUCUCAAGAGAGCAGCUCAGAAAAUGGAGCGUAAGUGGAAGAAUAUAAAAUUAGAGGUAUUUUGCUGUGCAUGGAAGGAUAGUGUCUCUAACUACAGACAGGCACUUAAAACUGCCAGGUCUGCAUAUUUGAGCAAACUCAUAGAAAAUAACCACAAAAAUCGUAGGUGUUUAUUCAGUACUAUGGCUAAAUUGGUUAGGAAUAAAACUUCUAUUGAACCAGAUAUUCCAUUGCAGCAUAGUAGUAAUGACUUUAUGAAUUUCUUUACUGAUAAAAUCAAAAUCAUCAGAAACUAAAUUGGAAUUAUGCGUCCGCCUGCCACAGCACCCCAGAAGACUACAAUUAUUCCCUAAGAGCAACUUCAAUCCUUUGCUGUUAUUGAUCAGGAAGAGCUAACAAAAAUGAUCAAAACAUCAAAAUCAACAACAUGUAUGUAUGUUAGAUCCAAUACUGAAUAAACUCCUAAAAGAGGCGUUUCCUGUAAUCUCAGAACCUUUUCUUAAUAUUAUUAACUCCUCAUUAUCCUUAGGGCAUGUCUGGAAGUUAUCAAACCACUUAUCAAGAAACCAUAGCUUGAUCAAGGAGAUUUGGCUAAUUAUAGACUGAAUUCAAAUCUUCCAUUUAUGUCGAAAAUGCUAGAAAAGGUAGUGUCCUACCAACUAUGUUCAUUUUUACAGAGAAAUGGUAUAUAUGAAGAAUUUCAGUCAGGAUUUAGGCCCCAUCAUUGUACAGAGACUGCACUUAUCAGAGUUACAAAUUACUCGCUCUUAUCAUCUGAUCGUGGCUGCAUUUCUCUUCUAGUGCUCUUAGAUCUCUAGUGCUCUUAGAUCUUAGACACCAUACAUCAUGACAUUCUCUUAGAUAGGCUUGAGAAUUAUGUUGGCAUUUGUGGACCGGAAUUAGCUUGGUUUAGGUCCUAUCUCUCUGACUGCUACCACUUUGUCUGUGUAAAUGAAGAACUUUCAGAUCAAAUUAAAGUUAAGUAUAGAGUGCCACAGGGAUCAUUUUUAGGGCCUCUGCUGUUCUUCUUAUAUAUGCUCCCCCCGGGAGACAUUAUCAGGAACCAUGGAAUUAUUUUUCCACUGUUAUGCCGACGAUACACAACUUUAUAUUUCUUCGAAACCUGAUGAAAUUUAACAAUUUUCUAAAUUAACAAAUUAUAUAAAUGAUAUCAAAGAGUGGAUGGCUAGAAAUUUCCUUCUACUCAAUUCCGAUAAAACAGAAGUACUCAUUAUUGGAACAAAAACCUCAAAAAAUAAGAUGAUAAAAUGUAAUCUGAUUUUUGAUGGAUGUACUGUAACAUCAACUUCUGCAGCAAAAAAUGUAGGUGUUAUAUUUGAUAGCAAUCUUAACUUUGAAAAACAAAUUUCCAAUAUUUGUAGAACUGCAUUCUUCCACCUCAGAAUUAUUGGCAAGUUAUGACACAUGCUAUUUAUUUCUGAUGUUGAAAAACAAAUUCAUGCAUUCAUGACCUCAAGACUAGAUUAUUGUAAUGCAUUACUUGGUGGAUGCAGCAGUGAGAGUGCUAACUAGAACCAAGAAAUAAGAUCCUAUCAGCCCCAUUUUACCGGCGUUACAUUGGCUACCUGUUAAGUUUCGUAUUCAUUUUAAAAUUCUGUUAAUUACUUACAAAGCUUUGAAUGGUCUAGCUCCAAAGUAUUAAGCAACCUUCUGUCAUGCUAUAAUCCAUCGCGCUCAUUACAAUCGCAAAACUCUGGCCUGUUAACAAUACAGAGAAUAUCAAAAUCCACAAAAGGAGGGAGAUAAUUUUCAUAUUUGGCUCUUAAACUAUGGACUAUGGACUAUAGUCUCUCUAGCAGUGUUCGGAACUCAGACACACUGUCUCAGUUUAAGUCUAGACUAAAAACGUAUCUAUUCAGCCAGGCAUACUCCUAAUUUAUCCCUCAAUUCAUAGCUAUGCUGCUUUAAUUAGGUCUGCCUGAACCGAAAACACUUCUCUUAUUCUUUAACCCUGCUUUAAAUUGAAUGGCAUCUACGCUAAUUUUA
Molecule: long non-coding RNA, 11316 nt
Organism: Myxocyprinus asiaticus (Chinese sucker)
Lineage: Eukaryota; Metazoa; Chordata; Actinopteri; Cypriniformes; Catostomidae
Exons: 2
Source: RefSeq, a predicted model, not a curated record